GAAGCCUACGGGGGAGCAGUGGGGGAUAUUGCACAAUGGGGGGAACCCUGAUGCAGCGACGCCGCGUGGGUGAAGAAGCGCCUCGGCGCGUAAAGCCCUGUCAGCAGGGAAGAAAAUGACGGUACCUGAAGAAGAAGCCCCGGCUAACUACGUGCCAGCAGCCGCGGUAAUACGUAGGGGGCAAGCGUUAUCCGGAUUUACUGGGUGGAAAGGGGGCGCAGACGGCGAUGCAAGCCAGGAGUGAAAGACCGGGGCCCAACCCCGGGGCUGCUCUUGGACCUGCGUGGGUGG
Molecule: ribosomal RNA, 291 nt
Filed under: uncultured bacterium
Lineage: Bacteria
Description: partial 16S ribosomal RNA
Rfam family: Bacterial small subunit ribosomal RNA
Source: RNAcentral